GACGAACGCUGGCGGCGUGCUUAACACAUGCAAGUCGAGCGGUAAGGCCCUUUCGGGGGUACGACGAGCGGCGAACGGGUGAGUAACACGUGGGUGACCUGCCCUCAGCUCUGGGAUAAGCCUGGGAAACCGGGGUCUAAUACCGGAUAUGACUCCAUGACGCAUGUUGUGGGGUGGAAAGCCUUGUGCGGCUGAGGAUGGGCCCGCGGCCUAUCAGCUUGUUGGUGGGGUGAUGGCCUACCAAGGCGACGACGGGUAGCCGGCCUGAGAGGGCGACCGGCCACACUGGGACUGAGACACGGCCCAGACUCCUACGGGAGGCAGCAGUGGGGAAUCUUGCGCAAUGGGCGAAAGCCUGACGCAGCGACGCCGCGUGAGGGAUGACGGCCUGGUGUAAC
Molecule: ribosomal RNA, 398 nt
Filed under: uncultured bacterium
Lineage: Bacteria
Description: bacterial SSU rRNA
Rfam family: Bacterial small subunit ribosomal RNA
Source: RNAcentral